Molecule: non-coding RNA, 253 nt
Organism: Lonchura striata (white-rumped munia)
Lineage: Eukaryota; Metazoa; Chordata; Aves; Passeriformes; Estrildidae
Source: RefSeq, a predicted model, not a curated record
CCGGGCUCCCACUGGCCUUGCCUUUGGGGGUGCUGGCACCAGGCUGUACUGGGCAGACCAUGAAAGAGGUACCAUCAGCAGUGUUGAGCUGGAUGGAUCCCGCUUCCGGCUGGUGCGGGAAGGGUUGCAUGGUCUCUCGCUCUUUGCCGUAGGAGAAGGCUUUCUGCUCUGGAGCACAACCUCUACCAAUGGCUCCAGCAAGAUCUGGCACAGCCGGCUGGAGCAGGCUGAGAGCUGGUGGUUCCUGAUGGAG